This is a non-coding RNA of Chiloscyllium plagiosum (whitespotted bambooshark), 103 nucleotides long. The record is from RefSeq and is a predicted model, not a curated record. Lineage: Eukaryota; Metazoa; Chordata; Chondrichthyes; Orectolobiformes; Hemiscylliidae.
UGGAAGGUGACGACCAGUGGGGUUCUUUGGAGUAGGUAAAGGACAUGGGAGAAGGUGUUCAGACCGAAAAUUAACAACUUGAUCUUGAGUCCGGAAGGCUGCA